AAGACUAUAGACCUGCGGAGUACCUGCGGAAGGAUCAUUAGUGAACGCCCUCGCGGGCUUAUAACUAUUCCAAACCUCUGUGAACCGUGCCCUUCGGGGCUAUUUUACAAACAUGGUGUAAUGAACGUCAUAUAUCAUAACAAAACAAAACUUUUAACAAUGGAUCUCU
This 169-nucleotide unclassified non-coding RNA is filed under the name soil metagenome. RNAcentral's name for it is "partial contains 5.8S ribosomal RNA, internal transcribed spacer 2, and large subunit ribosomal RNA". The record is from RNAcentral.